RNAcentral lists this long non-coding RNA (429 nucleotides) under Physcomitrium patens. RNAcentral describes it as "long non-coding RNA (PPAT_LNC006369)". Lineage: Eukaryota; Viridiplantae; Streptophyta; Bryopsida; Funariales; Funariaceae. The record is from RNAcentral.
UCUAGGAUUUGGUUUAGGUUUUAGGGUUUAAUUUAGGAUUUAGGAUUUGUCUAAGAUUUGAUUUAGGAUUUAAGAUUUGAUUUAAGAUUUGAUUUAAAAUUUAGGAUUUGUCUAGGGUUUGAUUUAGGAUUUAGUUUAGGGUCUAGGAUUUGAUCUAGGAUUUGAUUUAGUAUUUAGAAUUUAUCUAGGAUUUAAUUUAAGAUUUAAGAUUUGAUUUAGGAUUUGAUUUAGGAUUUAGAUUUUAGGAUUUAUUUAGGAUUUGAUUGAAGUCCAUUAGGAUUUCAACCAAAAUUAAAUUAAAACUUACUUGAGAUUUAUUUAAGAUAUAUUUUUGAUUAUUUUAAUAUUUUUUUAGGGCUUCUUAAGAAGUCUUUUAAGAUUUAUUGUGGAUUUUCUUUCAACUCCUUUAAGAUUUCUUAUUUUUUCUUU